This 253-nucleotide ribosomal RNA is filed under the name uncultured bacterium. Its description in RNAcentral is "partial 16S ribosomal RNA". It matches the Rfam family "Bacterial small subunit ribosomal RNA", at positions 524 to 776 of the family's 1533-position model. The record is from RNAcentral.
UACGUAGGCAGCAAGCGUUGUUCGGAGUUACUGGGCGUAAAGAGUGCGUAGGCGGUUUCGUAAGUUUGGGGUGAAAUCUCCCGGCUUAACUGGGAGGGUGCGCCGAAAACUGCGGGGCUGGAGCGUGGGAGAGGCAAGCGGAAUUCCUGGUGUAGCGGUGAAAUGCGUAGGUAUCAGGAGGAACACCGGUGGUGUAGACGGCUUGCUGGACCAUGACUGACGCUGAGGCACGAAAGCGUGGGGAGCAAACAGG